RNAcentral lists this unclassified non-coding RNA (4926 nucleotides) under Leishmania donovani. RNAcentral's name for it is "gene:LdHU3.31.3950(CDS-product:ARM-like_helical_d omain-containing_protein)". The record is from RNAcentral. Lineage: Eukaryota; Euglenozoa; Kinetoplastea; Trypanosomatida; Trypanosomatidae.
AGGGUCGCGCACAUCGAGUUUUUAUUUUGUUGUUGCGGCGCUUCUUACAUCGCCGUCUCCUCACUGCGAGACGCACAACUGUUCGUUGCACGCCGCUCUUACGCGCUGCGGGAAAAGAGCGUCCUGCGCUUCCGUUUUGGGGCUGUGCGCUUCUCCGUUUCCGGCGGCGCCCGCUCUCCCAACUUCCAUCUCAACUCCUUUUAGCACGUGGGCACAGUGUGUCACUGGGCACCCCUUCCCCGCAUUAUUUCCGUGGAUUCGCUCUUGCCUGCUAUUCCAUCAGCCCCCCAUCACCACCACUACCACGACCAACCCUUCCGCCCCACACCAUGCAACGCAUCUCUUCGCUCGACGAGCUAUUGCAGCACGUGGAAUCACUCUCCCACCACAGCCGGUGCGCGACUCUCGUAGAGUUUGGCCGCUGCAGCAUCACUGCAACAGCGCGAGAGCCGAGGGAUCUUCAGAAUGUCAUCACAACGCUCGGCGCACCGUCGCAAGGGCACUACCAGCACUUUCUUGCUGCCUGUGCGUUGUGCGGUGCCUUCGCAGAGACCCAAAGAAUUGGGCGGGCCAUGCCGGCCGCGCUGCUAGAGACGGCGUCGUCACUGCUGGAGGAUGCAUCUCUGAAGGUAUCGCAGCUGUUGAUGACUUGCAUGCUAAUCUCGACCACAAGCGACGACCCGCAAAAAGCAGCGAUGGCAAUCAACUUUUUACAGGGCGCCCGACUUCCUCAGUUCAAGUGCCUGGUCACCCGACUGGCGCAAGCACAGCAGACGCAGGUGCUCCUGCGGCUCUACCAGACGCACACAGUGACGGACCCCGCCAAGAUGCAGCUGCUACUCGGAUCCUUGAGCCCGGAAGCUUUCGAACAGCUGCCGAAAGAAGAGCAGGCUACUCUUGGCAUCGUGGCACUUCGUCUCUUGUGUCGUCAUCAUCCUCAGUGGGUAGCGCAGUACUUGACGGCUCGGGUAUACGAGCAGGUAAGCCUCAACACGGUUGUGGACGCGGCGCUGAAGGAGCUGGUUCAGAAAGCGUGCGUGUUUCUCGCCACCCGCGGUGCAUUGAAAGACAGCCUCUCCCUCUUCACUGCCACCGCGCACCUUCUCGGCCUGGACCAACCCACUCUGCAGACCGUGCUGGAGCGCUACUACGUCUCCACCUUUCCCGUGGAAAUCGGCCACUAUCUGCUCGAGGGAGAGGGUCGGCACAUGUUGGCGACCUUUUCGGAACCCUUGAACUGCCUGAUAUCGCGUCGGGCCUGGAGACGCCUUGGCGGACACACGGACCUCAUCCUAAGACUUCUGGACAAAAGCAUUCUCUCCAAUGAGCCCGUCGACUUGCUGAACAUGCUUCCUGAUGCGCGGCGCGCCUACUUUGCGCGUGGCUGCAGGGAGCUGCAAGACACUCGUGGGAUUCCGCAUAUAAACUGGAUUUUUUGCAUGCCAUCUGCGGCGGAGCGAACAGCCUUCGCCCACCGCUUCUACAAUCACGCGAAACUGCAAGACCUCCCGAACGAGCGCAUCGAAUACCUUUCUUUCCUGCCAUUCCCGGAAGCAAUACAGAUCGGGGCCGCGUACGUGACCAGCAGCGACGCUACGAUUCGGUCCCAGCUGAUUCGCGCGUGCGUUGGCUCCCUCAGGUACUACCCCGAGCACCUGCCAGCGGCCCUCGCGUUUUGUGCGCAGCGGCCAAAGGAGCAGGAUGGAUGGCGUCGCGAGAUGUUCAAGGCGUGGGCUGCGCUGCCACACGGCUUCUGGAGGCGUACGGCCACGCACAUUUCCGAUAACACCUUGCAGGACACGCUCACACAGCUCAUCCAAGCUGCCUACAGCGCCAAAGACAUGUCUGACCGCACUCUGCGAGCGCUGGAGAAGCUCCUCUUCCGCCUCGUUGGGCCGCAGACAAACUUUGCGGUCAGCCAACUUGCCACGCUUAUCCGCAAACGAAAACAGUUCACUGCCUGCAAUGGCGACUGGGAUGACUUUCUCCAGUUAGCUCAGCUGUACCCGCGUGCUGUACCUGUCCUGGUGGCAUCGCUGCUUCCGCUUGCGCAGAUGCUGCUAGACAGCGACAACAUGUGGGCGACUAUACGCAUCCUGGAAUCCCUUCUCGACAACAAAACUGUCGUCAAAGUACUUCGGCGAGAGGCGCCUGCGCCGAGCAACGGUGAGCCCGAGAUUUGGACGAUGGUGCAUGACGUGCUACAAGCCGGUAUGUCCUCGACAGACAGCGGUGUGGCGGCGGUUUCCUUGAGGCUUUACGCCAGGCACUUUGCACAGCAACUGGCGGUCGAGCUUCCGGACCUCAUCGCCCAAAGGAAAGACUGGAUUACUGUCAGCAGGGUGCAGCGCCUGGUGUGUGACGUUCUGCAGGGACCGCUGUUGGACAUGCUCGUGAUCCCCAUCGAAAACAUCCCCACCGGUCGCUUCUACCACGCAAACAGCAAGUCGCUCGCGUUUGUGUGUGAGCUGCCGGUGGAGAACGCACACCGGUGGACGGCUCGCCAGCAGAUCCGCUACGCGCAGUCUUGCCUGCAAGCCAUAUACACCCCGCUUGCUUUGGAGGCUUUCCAAUGCAGCCGGCUCAUCAAGAAUCUCGCCAGGUUGCCCUCCGUAUCCUCCACGACAAGUUGGACAGACGCAGAUGGAAACGCACGGAGUUUGCUCACCUUGGCAACGGACGCGCAUCCUGAGCAUGGGGAGUAUGCGAUGCGGUUUGCGCUGCAGGCGCUCGGCCAGCUGGAUGGCGAUGCCGCAGCCGUGCAAGCCUUACAGAAUGCGCUAGAUGUGGCGGACCAACGCAUGGACGCUCUUCGAGCACUCGCCACGGCGCUGCGGCGCGCACCGAGCGCCGAGGCGGUGCGCGUUCUCGAGCCAGUCCUCACGGGGAAGCAAGUGACGGCUCAGAAGGAGGCACUUCACCUUCUUGGCGCGAAGUGCGACAAUGUGGCGUACGCGCGUAUCGUGCAGUUUGCCGCCGAGCGUCAUCUACCGAUGCCUGCAGAAGAGGACGGUGACUGUGGAGGAGUCGCGGCACUCUCUGCAACAGCUGCCACGGCGCCUGGAUCGACGGAGGAGGCUGUGCUGACUAUGCAUCGCGAUGUGCGAGCCGCUUUAGUGACCGCGCUCUUCCACUUUCUGGACAAGCCGCAGGUGUGGUCAUACUACGCCUUCAUUGUAACGCACGACCAAGUGGCAGAGCAAUGUGCGGUGGCUGCCGCGGAGUCAGCUAUCAAUGCACGCGAAGAAAGCGAUGGUGACACGGAUGAUGCGAGCACUGCCGACUCUUAUGAGAAGCAAGUGACCACUCCAUCCUCAGCGGCUUGCGUGGCUAUGUCAACCUUGCCGUGGGCGCUGCUCCGGCUGCCGUGGCAGGUGCGGGAGUACCAGGUGCUUCUUCGACGACUUCUUCGCCACCCGGUGCGCGACGUUCGCGUCUCGGCACUGCACAAGCUUGCCACAGUGCCGCCGUACGACGACCUGGAGCUGUGCAAGGCGAUUGCAGAGUACCUGGAUGAGUGCACCUCACCGGAAAUCGUUCAGUCUGUGCUCAGGUGCAUGCUUAGGUGCACCGCCGAGGAAGCGGCGCCGUUUCUCAUCUCUGUCAUCUUCACCGUCCAGCCCGACGCGUCCCUCGAGAGUGUGGCGAGUGUGCUGUGUGGAAUCAUGAGAUGCGCUGCGGCGCACGAACACAAGCUGCUGCGCACUGUUGCGACUGAGGUUGCGGAGCAACUCAUCGCGGCCCGCCGCCAGCCAACGAUCGCGGUCUCGCUGAUUUUCGAAUUGGACAUCUCGGAGUGGGUGUCGCGGCUGACGACGAUGGAAGCAGCUGGGCUGAUGCAUCCUGGGGCAGCAGCGGCUGUGAUCAGAGCGGUGCAAGGUGACUCCUCUGCCAUCCGCGACAUGGAUGCCGCGGAAAGACUGGAGCAGGCAGUGCUGAGAAAGCACCCUUCUGCCCUUAUGCGCCGUCUCGGCUUGGCGAUUCUUCUCGAAGCAUGUGAGAAACGCGGCUGGAGUGAAGAUCGUAAGCUGUCUCUGCGAUUAUACUGCAAAGACACGGACUUGUGGGUCUCCUCCGACGCCCGUAUGGUACGACAGGAGUAAUCUAUGCUGAGCACGAUGCGCGCAAGGCGCCUUGGCCCCGCGAAUGGUAUGCCUCCUGAGGCAGAAGUCUCUCGUCGUCGAGGAGCGCCACCGGAUGUGUUCCUGGACAGCCCCUCUUUGUUUUCUUUUUCGCUUGCAACUCUUACAUUUUCAGCCCGCCCCACCACCCCCCCUCCGUGUGUGUGUGUGUGUGUGCUCUUGCUCUUCUUCUCCCUGACGACAACCUCCAUACUGCCGGGGGGGGGGGGGGGGGGGGGGCACACCUCGUCCUGUGGCAUCACAGGGUUCAGUACACCACAUUCUUGCGCAAGCCGAGCAGCCUGCAAAGUCUGCCCUUGUGUACGGCUGCAUAUUCUUGGUGUUGGCAGAGCAGGUCUGAGCUGGCGGUGUGCCGGAGAGACUCGCGGGCACGAUCCCGCUUGUAUCAGCUCACUAAGAGUAGUGUCAGCGAUUGAACACCGCUGCGCCUCCACCUCCUGUUUUACGCUCCUGUUUCAGCUGCGUUGCGGUGGUGUAGAGCGUAAGCAUGAGCUCAGCGUGUCCGCUUUAUGCAGUGGCGUCACAGUGGGCUGAGCGACACCCGGCAGUGCUGGUUGGGCCGGCUCCUUGGCAUAGCCACAGUGCAGCAGAGGUGGUUGGGCCGUGAUUGUAUGUGCGUGUAUAUUUGAUGACCUGCUCGUGGUGCAAUGAUAUCUUCGUUGAACUAUUCCUAGCAGUAGUGCUUCGCUUUAUUUUGACACCUUCACUCUCGUUAUCUCUGACCGUGCCAUUACAUCCCUGCGUGCCAGUGUGUUGCGGUCUGCGAUUUUGGUGCGCUGGUCAG